UUCACUAUUACUAUGGUUGCUAUGAAUCCUUACAAUACCCUUUGUUAUUUCUAUAUGGUGAAAGUGGAUGGCAUUGUGGUAUACAAAAGAUUUUGAAACCAAAUAAUUCUUCUAGAAAUCGUUCUUCCUGCAAAUAUGAACAACUUCCACUUGUCAUAGACAUGUCUUCCAUUGAUGAUACCUUAAUAUUGAAGAAGGAAUUUUACAAAAAGAACGAUAAAAAAAGAACACUGUUUCGUAUCGUGAAUAUUAUUGUUACAAACUUCAAAUUAGAGAUAAUGAAGAAAAUGACACUUUACAUUCUGGAAGAUUAUUCCAACAAUAUUCGGUAUAUCAAUAUAUAAAGCUCGAAACACAAAGAUUGGACUUCUUUUUACUUAACCAAGAUUUAUUCCGAACUGAAAUGUUAGCGAGACUUAUUGAUCUACAAAGACUAGGAGAAAGAGAAGUUUCAAAUAUUGGCCCAAAAACAUUCUUGUCUACUAGCUUUACAGGGGGUCCACGAGAUAUUCGACGUAGAUACAUGGACACAAUUGCAUUAGUACAACAUUUUGAAAAAUCGGAUAUCUUCUUAACACUGCCAUUUAAUCCUUCAUGGCCUAAAAUAGAACAUUUGUUGCUAACGACUGAUGAAAUACAAUAUAGACCCGAUUUAAUAAAUCGAGUAUUUAAAGAAAAAGUGGAAAAAUUAAAGUCGGAUAUUGUUAAAACAAAGAUUUUAUGGAAAAAUUGCUGCUUAUAUGUACACUAUAGAAUUUCAAAAAAGAGGUCUUCCUCAUGCUCAUUUCCUUGUUAUACUUGAGAAUGACUAUAAGUUAUUAACACCGAAGGAUUAUGACAAAAUCGUUUGUGCUGUAAUACUUGACGCCAAUACAAGUGAACAUUUACACUCUUUGGUUGUUAAACAAAUGAUGCAUGGUCCUUGCGGAAGUUUAAAUCCUAACAAUUCAUGCAUGGAAACAAAAGGAACUUGUAAAUUUAAAUACCCUAAAAAUUACGCAAAUGAAACAUCUAAAGGCAAAAAUUCAUAUCCAAUUUAUAGAAGACGAGGCACCAGAAAAUUUAUAACAGUUAGAACUCAAUAUCUUAAUUCAUGGGUCGUAUCAUACAAACCAUAUCUACUGAGUAAAUUUAACUGUCACAUAAAUGUUGAAAUCUGUGCCGAUAUUAAAGUCGUUAAAUAUAUCUACAAAUACAUUUGCAAAGGUCAUGAUAAAAUAAGUUUCAAUCUUCAAAGUAAAUAAAUUAAUACAGAAAUAGACGAAAUAAAAGAGUAUCGUACCGGUAGAUGGGUAUCACCACCAGAAGCUAUAUGGCGUAUGCUAGCCUUUCCUAUUAGUGAAAUGAAUCCAAAUGUAUAUCAGCUUCAGCUACAUCUUCAAGACCAACAAUUUAUCUCUUUCAAAACGACUGCAACAUUAAGUUCAAUUUUAAACAAUCCAGGAAAUAAAAGAACAAUGCUAACAAAAUUUUUCUCAAUGAAUUAAACAAACAGACACGCCAUAGAGCUUGAUUUACUAUACAAAAAAUUCCCACAACACUUUAUUUGGUCAAUCAGUGAUAAAAUAUGGACACAUAGGAAAUAAGGUUAUGCUAUUGGACGUAUUAUCAGUUUUCAUCCAAUUGAAGGAGAAAGAUAAUAUCUACGGUUAUGACUAAUGAAUAUAGGAAGUCCUAAAUCAUAUAAAGAACUUAGAACUAUAAAUGGUAUAUGUUGCACCAUAUUUAGAGAAUCUGCAGGAAAAAGAGGAUUGUUAGCUUCCGAUAAUAACUUAAUUGAAUGCCUAUCAGAAGCUACUGCUUACCAAAAGUCAUGUAGUUUACGUCGCUUAUUUGCUACACUAUUAGUAUAUUGUAAUCCUGCUAACCCAAAAAAUUUUGUAGGAAAAAUUUGAAAGACCCAUGUCUGAAGAUUUUACAAUUACAACAAAUAUACAAAUAACUAACAUUUGUUAUAUGGUUAUGAAAUACAUAAACAUCAUAUUACAUUCAAUGGGACGAAACAUAAAUGAGUUCAAACUCAUAUCAGAAAAUUUUACACCUUCCAUAUUUUCUUACAAAAUAACGCAAGAGUCUAAAGACAUCUAUUUAAAAAGAAACAUAGUUGUAACUGAAGAAGAUUUAUUGCUAUAUAAGAAACUAAAUAGAGAGCAACAUGUUUCUUACAAUGCCAUUCUUAAUAGAAUAUUCUCAAAUGAAUGGGGAGUUUUUUAUAUUGAUGGACCAGGAGGAACUGAAAAAAACUUUUUAUACCAAACUUUACUAGCUACUGUAAGAUUCAAAGGACUUAUUGCUUUAGCUACAAUAACUUUCGGUGUUGCAGCUUUUGUAUUCCCCGGAGGACGAACUGCUCACUCAUACUUCAAACUUCCUAUCAACAUAGGCGAAAACUAUAAUUGUAAUAUAAGUAAACAAAGUUCACUUGCUGCAUUAAUUCAAGAUACCAAGUUAAUAGUAUGGGAUGAAGUAUUAAUGGCAACGAAAAAACUUGUAGAGACUUUUGAUUGCUAAGAGAUCUUAUGAGUAUAAAUAUACCUUUUGGUAGAAACGUUAUUGUUUUUGGAGGUGAUUUUAGAUAAACGUUACCAGUUGUAAAAGUGGAGUAAAAGAAGAUUUCAUUCGUGAAUGUUUAUUGAACUCAGAUAUCUGAAAUUAUCUUGAAAGGUUUCAGUUAACAUAAAAUAUGCGUGCAUGAGAAGAUCCUACAUUCUGUGAAUAUUUAUUUAGAAUUGGGGAUGGAAAAAAAAUAAGUUAAUAACCAUAAUAAAAUUGAGAUUCCAGAAUCCUUUCUUAUUUCUUUUACAAAUGAGAAGGAGUCAUUAAACAAUUUAUUCAAAACUAUUUACCUAAACUUAAACAUGAUCAUGAUUGAUACAUCUAAUGUAACAUCACGUGUUAUCUUAACAACCAAAAAUAAUUUUGUAAAUGAAAUUAACCAAAUGUUCAUAGAUAAAUUCCCUGGUACUGCGGUAACAUUCGUCGGUAUUGAUGAAACUGUAGAGACAAAAGACCAAAGCGAGUUUGAAGAUUUCUUACAUACUUUGAAUCUUGCUGCCUGCAGGACUGCCUUCUUAUAAGUUAGUUCUAAAGCAAAAUUGCCCAGUUAUAUUACUACGCAAUUUAAAUUCUUUUGAAAUUUUAUGUAAUGGUACUCGCGUAAUUUGUAUUGAUUUCAAAACUCAUAUUAUUAGUGCUAAAAUUGCAAGUGGGAAUUUCAAAGGCAAACAUGUUUUCAUUCCCCAUAUACCCUUAUUAUCGCGACAUGUCAAAAAACUUACCAAUUCAAUUCAAGAGAACACAAUUUUCCAUUCAAUUAUGUUUUGCUAUGACUAUAAACAAAGCUCAAGGUCAAACACUAGAUUUUGUUGAAAUUUAUUUACGUGAAUCUGUAUUUUCACAUGAUCAACUUUAUGUUGCUUUAUCAAGAGCAAAAUGCUCAAACUGUGUAAAAAUGAUAAUACGACCAGCAACAACAGAUGAUUCCAAUGAUCAUUCUACUUACAAUAUAGUAAUUAGUGAAAUUAUUUACAAAACAUUCUCUUAAAAAUAAUUUUCACUGAUUCCAUGUAAAUUUCCUAUAUUUUGAUAUUUACUAUUUGCAAUUCAUCAAUCAACUCCUACUCUGCUCCUACAAUCUCAAAGAUCUUUAUCUUGUACAGGUAAUCGACUUUAGAGCUACAAAUCUAUUCGAACUUGGCAGCACCUCUUCACAAACACACCUUGUGAGUACCUUUGGUUACAUGUGUUCAAAGUAAGAAUCUAAUUGUAGCUAACAUUAUGUGAUAUUUUAUAGUUGCAUUUUAAAAGUUUUCAACGCUAUGAUAAUAUCUACAAUGCUUUUAUUUCCUAAAUUUUUUAUUGGUUUUAGCAAUCAUAUUCAAAAUCACUCUACAAUACAUUCGUUUCUCUAAAGCUAGCUCAAAUACAGCAAACACAAAUAAAAAAUAUGUCCUUAUGUGCAUCAGCGUGUAUGUCAAAAUGAAUAAUGAAUAUAGCGUCUUUUAUCUUCCCUUUCAAUGAAUGAUCUUAAGCUACUGCCUGAGUCUUUGUUAGCUCAAACUUAUCUGCUGGGUUACUACUUAAUUAUCAGAGUUUCUUUAUUUUUUGUUUCUGCACAUCCAGGCAAUACCUGAAAAUAUAUACAGGCUGUGUAGCUUUAUAUUGUUUGACACUAAUGAAUCAAUCACCAUUUUCAUAAAAAAGAAGACACCAUAUGGCGACCUCAAGACCACUUUGUACAUAUAACUAUCUUUGAAAUAGAUCCUCCAAUAUCCUUAUGCCUUGAUUGACACAUAUAAUGCUGAGAAGUUUGAAUCCUUGGCCAAAGCAUUUAGGCGUGUAUUAUUAUAUAAACAGUAUAAUAGACUUUGCAUUGUAACUUAGGAUGUCUAAAAUUUAUACAUUACUAAUAUAAGAAUAUUUAUGUUUGCUUAGGGAGGACAAAAAAACAUGCCAACAAAACAAUCCUUUUUAUCUUGCGAUUCUUUUACUCCGUGUUAGCCUUGGAGGGGGUUAGGGAAAAGAGUACAAGUAGAAUACUACUUAAAAAGGUGCUAGAUACUAUAAUGGUAUAUUUUAAAACCAUAUUUUUAUAAGAAUGUGAAAAGGAGAUUUAAAGUUCAAAGUUGUGGCACAAAUAAAUUGAUCCAAACAUUGUAUUAUUCUUUUUAACUGAAGAAUGAAUUGGUCGAGAAGUUGGAUAUAUGUUUAGAUAUGUUUUUCCUAUGAUGAGAUUGUUGUACAUAAGUUCACAAACAUGCCCAGUUAAUUAGAGUAAUAGUUUCUGCCUCUUUUGCUUUCUUAUUCAUCUUCAAAUUGAUGUGUGUUAGUUUAAAUUCUUUUGUCAACUGAUACUGCAACAGAUCUAAAGAAGCAAAAGUUGUACUAAAGCAUUGUUCAAAUUCGUAAUUUGUUUAUUUCCUCUUGAGAUCUUCUGUGCGUCUUAUGAAAUGGUAUGGCUAUUUUCUAUCAAACAUAUAAGAACUUAAAGAAAUACAUGUGUGUCUGUUGUUGUUGUAAAACAAGAGGAUGCCAACUCUUUAUGCACUCUCCUACAAGAAGUGUGUUUCAUUUGAUUCAUCUAAUUCAAAAAGUUUAAAAACAAGUGUCAAGGACUAAUCUUUUACCACAUAAGCAUCUCCGUGAGAAAUAUUAAGAAAUUGACAUCAUAUAAUUCACUAACGUUCUGAUUUAGAAGACGAGCAGUCAGGUAAUAUCAACAAGAUUAAACGUAUUCUAUGACAAUUUUGGCUAAGUUAUUAUACUAGAUUCAUCUAGGACUUGCAACUUUAUAUCCCUUGACUUAAUAAAUCACCAUUGGAUUAUUGAAAAUACAUGUCGAUGAUGAUAAGUUUAGGUUCAUCUACAUAUGUAGUUUAUUGUGCCGUGAUUCAUUGUUUUAUAUGUGAGAAUAUUUGCGGGUUAACCAAGUUUCUUUUGCACGUUUUGACUUUCAUGAAAAAAGGUAAUCAAAGUCUAAACUUAUUUAUCCUUCUCCACUCAAAGGUUCCGUUAGUUUCUUUUCAAAUACUUUUAAUUCAUCAGGUAACUGUUGUUAUUGAACUUCUACAAGAAUCUGUUCUGAUUGGACUAUUAGUUUAGCUGAUCGAUUGAAUUAGUUUCAAAUUUGCAGAUUAAUCAGUUGGCAUGGCUUCAUUUGAUAUCAAGUAUAAUUUAUUAUAUUGCCUACAGAUAAAGGCCAGAAAUGGACCAUUUACUGAAAGUUUAGAGACAAGUUUUUUGUGGUGUGGGUAUAUACUAAGUUGUCAGUAUAUAAUUUGUGACGCCUCAAAAAAGAAAUUGAAUUGAGUUAACACCUUAACACGAGUGCUGUCUCACCCCUUUUUCGUUCUCCAAAAGAAUUGAUUUUAAGAAUUUAAAAGGGGUUUUAUUAUUAAAGUUAAAAAGAUGAAAAUUUGUUCCGAAAAAGGACUAUUUACAUUUUUUAUUUAGAGUUGCCACUUGGCAUAAUCCGGUGUGCCAAGUCAACAAUGGAAAAUCCUUUUCAAAACCAUUCGACUCUUUAAACUGGUUUACGAACAGAGAUUCUGGCUAAGGAAUUCUGUUGACCGAGGGGAAGGUGUUAGGCACCCCUCGAUCCCGUGGUUCGACCACAGUCGCUUGGUGGAGCGUAUCGGCUAAUUUUGACACUACAAAUGUACAAACAACACAAACACGUAAACCAAUCAAACAGACAAACAAAACAAAAACGAAUCAAAAGUACAGUGUCCAGUCCAAUUUAUACAGUCCAAAUAUAAAAAAAAUGCAAAAAUAAAUCCUAUCUAACCUACACUAAUCCUAUCUACACUCCCGCACUUUACCCAGUGCCUCGGGCCUUUAUCACAAACGUCUUCCGCCAACAUAAUAUGUUGGGACAUUUUUCGGUGUAUAAAUACAAUGUGUCUCGGGGCAUUCCCCGACUAAAUGAAUACAUCUGAAUUAAAUACUAUAAACUAGAAAGAAAUAUUCACAUGCACAUUCCAACAUUCAACCAAAAUAUCAUUUCUAAAUUUUACCUACCCAAACCUAUUGCCUAUCCAUUUCAACAUAUCAUAACUCAAUCACGUUUCAUAUCAACAAUCAAUCAAACUUAAUUCGAAUCUAACCUUUUCGUCAAUUUUCAAUUCCACCCCCAACUUUCUUUUGAUUAAUCACCAUUAAAUCAUGAUCAAAUUCAUUCCUCCAACGACCAAAGUCGAAUUACCAAACAUCAACAACAUGAAGCAAUUAUAAUCAAUAACGCACAAUCAUAACACCAAUGCACUAAAUAGAAAUAAAAUGAAAAGAGGGAGUCAAAGAAUUGGACCUCAAGUGUCAAUUUUAAUAUCUCGGAGAUAGAACCGCGCCCGAAAACCCAAUUCCGAACCUCGACGGCAAACAAAACGCCAAACUCGAUAUAGAAUUCAACCGGACAAAUUUGAAAAUCUAUAUGAACCUCAGCGAAAUCAAGAUGGUGGUCGUCUUCUGCCACGCCAGAACUAUUUCCCUGGGGUAUUACGAUUCCGAUUCCAGCAAAAUAACUCACCGAAAAAUGGUUGAAUCUACCCGUUUUCUCUCAAAUCCCUCCGUUCUUCUCUUUUUUGUUUGUUUGUUUGUUCUCGACGCGUCUCUCUCCCAAUCUCUCGCUCUUCGUUUCUCCUCUCUCUCUGUGUUACUCUCUCUCUUAUCCUCUCCAGCAGCUCAAUGUCUCCCUUUGGAUCCUUUUCUCGACUAUCUCGAUCUCCACCUCCUCUAUUCUAUUUCUCAACCCAUGUGUGUGUAGUGUAUCUGGGUCAGUGAGUGAGGGAAAUUGUGUGUGGGUGUGAGUCUUUUUCUGCCGGUGAGAGAGGAUCUGCGUAUAUAUGAUAGUGUCUAUCCCAUAUAUAUGGAGAAUUAUGAAUUGUGUGUCAAUUUGAAUAUUGUUUUAUUUUUUGGUCAGUAUCUUGUGCGUCUGUGUGCUGUGUAGUGUUGUGUGAAUAUGAUCUUUGAGUGUGUCUUGUGAGUGAAGGUUAGUGAGAAUUGUGGAGAAGAUGAUGGAUAAUGGUGCGAAGAAGAAGAAAAGGAGAAGAGAAAAAAAAUGGCGUUCCCCCCUUUUCCUAUGUGCGUCCCCUUUGUUAUAUAUAAUGGAAAAAGAAUGAGUACUACCCUUCGUGGAAGGUUCCUCUUAUUUUUGUUUUUAGUCCAUGUUUCUUUCUUUGUGGACAAGAAAAAGAGAGGGUGAGGUGUUGUUUUUUAAUUGGAGGGGUAAGGGUUAGGUGUCUUAUUUUAAUUGAAAGGGUUGUUAGGAUAUUUAAAAGAAAUAAAGUUUGUUAGGGAUUUUGUUGAGAGUUUUUUUUAUUUUUGUGGAAUGUAAUUACAUGGGUAGGGUAAGGUAAAAAUGGGUAAAAUGAUAUCGGGGAGGGACGAAAUUAUGUGUCUACAUCAUGCCCCCUUUGAAUGUAAGCACGCAGUAUUUUCAGACAAAAAAGUAAACAACGAGAUCGGAUUUUGUCCCGAUCUUUAUUCAAAGAGAGGAGUAAAAGCAAGAAGGACAAUCGAAUCUUGUUGGACACCCUAUCUACCCAAGUCAUGAGGAAGUCACAAGUAUCUAAAGGGUUAGAAGAGAAGUGGACUAUACCGAGUUGGAGAGUCGAGUGAGGUUCCAUCGAGGUUCCGGUUCGCGGCUUUGUCAUUACAUCAAAAAUAAAAAUUACAAGCUAAAAAAAAAUGAAAUUACAAAAUCCUAUCUAUAAUGGAAAAAGAAUGAGUAUUAUCCUUCCUGGAAGGUUCCUCUUAUUUUUGUUUUUAGUCCAUGUUUCUUUAUUUGUGGACAAGAAAAAAAGAGGGUGAGGUGUUGUUUUUUAAUUAGAGGGGUAAGGGUUAGGUGUCUUAUUUUAAUUGAAAGGGUUGUUAGGAUAUUUAAAAGAAAUAAAGUUUGUCAGUGAUUUUGUUGAGAGUUUUUUUUAUUUUUGUGGAAUGUAAUUACACGGGUAGGGUAAGGUAAAAAUGGGUAAAAUGAUAUCCGGGAGGGACGAAAUUACGUGUCUACAUCAUGCUCCCUUUGAAUGUAAACACGCAGUGUUUCCAGACAAAGAAGUAAACAACGAGACCAGAUUUUGUCCCGAUCUUUAUUCAAAGAGAGAAGUAAAAGCAAGAAGGACAAUCGAAUCCUGUUGGACACCCUAUCUACCCAAGUCAUGAGGAAGUCACAAGUAUCUAAAGGGUUGGAAGAGAAGUGGACUAUACCGAGUUGGAGAGUUGAGUGAGGUUCCAUCGAGGUUCCGGUUCGCGGAUUUGUCAUUACAUCAAAAAUGAAAAUUGCAAGUUAAAAAAAAAUGAAAUUACAAAAUCCUAUCUAUACAGCUUCUGUUGGCUCUUGACUCGACUUUUAUCACCCUAUUCUUCAGGCGGGCUCCUGACUUGCAAUUUCUUCAACUUCUUACUUGCCUUUCAAUUUCUUCACCCUGUUCUUCAGGUGGGCUCCUGACUAGCUAUUUCAUCACCCUAUUCUUCAGGCGGGUCCCUGAAACCCAAAAUUAAAACUAGAAAAAAAAUUAUUCCAAAUAAAAACUAUAGUAAAGUAGUAUUUCAUUUUUGAAAGCGUUGUCCCAUUUUCCAGGAGGGUCCUGAACAGAAAGUAAAGUCCCAUUUUUCAGGAGGGUCCUAAACAUAAAAUAAAAUCCCAUUUUUCAAGAGGGUCUUGAGCAGAAGGCAAAGUCCUAUUUUUCAGGAGGGUCCUGAGUAUAAGGUAGAACCCCAUUUUUUAGGAGGGUCCUGAACAGAAAGUAAAAUCUCAUUAUUUAGGAGGGUCCUAAACAGAAAGUAAAUUCUCAUUUUUCAGGAGGGUCCUGAACAGAAAGUAAAACAGAAAGUAAAAUCCCAUUUUUCAGGAGGGUCCUGAGCAGAAAGUAAAAUCCCAUUUUCCAGGAAGGUCCUGAGCAGAAAAUAAAGACUCAUUUUUCAGGAGGGUCCUGAGCAUAAAGUAAAAUCCCAUUUUUCAGGAGGGUCCUGAACAGAAAGUAAAAUCUCAUUUUUCAGGAGGGUCCUAAGCAGAAAAUAAAGUCCCAUUUUUCAGGAGGGUCCUGAGCAGAAAGUAAAAUCUCAUUUUUCAGGAGGGUCCUGAGCAGAAAAAAUAAAGUUCCAUUUUUCAGGAUGGUCCUGAACAGAAAGUAAAAUCUCAUUUUUCAAGAGGGUUUCGAACAGAAAGUAAAGUCCCAUUUUUCAGGAGGAUCCUAAACAUAAAGUAAAAUUUCAUUUUUCAAGUGGGUCCUGAGUAGAAGACAAAGUCCCAUUUUUCAGGAGGGUCCUGAGCAUAAAGUAGAACCCCUUUUUUCAGGAGGGUCCUGAACAGAAAGUAAAAUCUCAUUUUUCAGGAGGGUCAUGAACAGAAAGUAAAUUUCCAUUUUUCAGGAGGCUCCUGAACAGAAAGUAAAGUCCCAUUUUUCAGGAGGGUCCUGAAUUGAAAGUAAAAUCCCAUUUUUCAGGAGGGUCCUGAGCAGAAAGUAAAAUCCCAUUUUUCAGGAGGGUCCUGAACAGAAAGUAAAAUCUUAUUUUUCAGGAGGGUCCUGAGCGGAAAAUAAAUUUCCAUUUUUUAGGAGGGUUCUGAGCAUAAAGUAAAAUCCCAUUUUUUAGGAGGGUCCUGAACAUAAAGUAAAAUCCCAUUUUUCAGGAGGGUCCUAAACAGAAAGUAAAUUCCCAUUUUUCAGAAGGGUCCUGAACAGAAAGUAAAGUCCUAUUUUUCAGGAGGGUCCUGAGUAGAAAGUAAAAUCCCAUUUUUCAGAAGGGUCCUAAGCAGAAAAUAAAGUCCCAUUUUUCAGGAGGGUCCUGAGCAAAAAGUAAAAUCCCACGGAUGUGCAUUUCCAAUGGUAGCUGAAUUAAGUGAAGCGAAUUUGCCCCUAUUUCAACAAAGAAAAUUUGUCAGUUAAAAACUUAGUGGUGGCUUGCAGCUCUUGGCUUCUCAGGUAUUUGCCCCAGCACUCCUUCCUUUUAUCUUUGUUCCAAAUCGCUGACACUUGCCCUGUCUUACCGCAUCAUUGACCUGGACCCAGAUUGAGAGAAAUGAGUUCUGACUCGAACAAUGGGUUUCCAUUUUACCAUGCCUCUGAGGUGCACCCUUUUCCCAAAUUUGAAUGCUUCCACGAAUCCAACAGCCUGUUGGUGGAUAGACUUCCUUUACUUUGCGUUGAAUUACGAUCAUAUUUCUUUCAUGUGCUGGUCCUUGGUUUUUCCUCAUAUAAUUGGAAAGACUAGUAGUAAAUUUUGAAAUCCUUUCUCGCUUGUUUUGACACAGACUUGACUUAAAAUGUAAAGAAAUGAUGGUGACUUUUAUAUUGAUAAAUGACAUAAAAAGACAAAAAGCUUGAAUAUGUAAAUGAAAGAAAAGGGCAACGUCCCAUAUUAAAAAAAAAACCUUAUCUGAAUACGGUAACCCACUCCAAUGAGUAUGACAUGCCUUUUGGAUUACGCUGCCUGAUCUUCCUAUCUAAACUCCCCAUUUGUUGUUGAGUUCGUGCCUUUGCCGCUGAGCCUCUUCUUCAAAUCCAUUGGACUCAUACAUCACAUUCAAUUGACGACAUCUUAAAAGACUUUCGCCUACAUAUCUCUUUCUUUUCGCUUUUUACUUUUCUCUUGAACUCGCCAUCGCCUUACGGUGCCCGUGAGGGUUUUCACCAGUAAGACUCUCUUAUUUUUAUUUCUCUCCACUCACCAUCGCCUUUUGGUGCCUGCGAGGUUUUUCACCAAUAAGACUCUCUCAUUUUCAUUUCUCUCAACUCACCAUCGCCUUAUGAUGCCCACGGGGGUUUUCACCAAUAAGACUCUCAUUUUGUAUUUCUUUCUUGAUUUCUUAUGUUGAGGGAGACACGUGGUACCUCACAAUGUAUCAUCAUAUCCGUUGCAUGCUUAGCCUUAACAUUAUCAAAAAUUGAUCUGAAGGACUUUCUUUNNNNNNNNNNNNNNNNNNNNNNNNNNNNNNNNNNNNNNNNNNNNNNNNNNNNNNNNNNNNNNNNNNNNNNNNNNNNNNNNNNNNNNNNNNNNNNNNNNNNNNNNNNNNNNNNNNNNNNNNNNNNNNNNNNNNNNNNNNNNNNNNNNNNNNNNNNNNNNNNNNNNNNNNNNNNNNNNNNNNNNNNNNNNNNNNNNNNNNNNNNNNNNNNNNNNNNNNNNNNNNNNNNNNNNNNNNNNNNNNNNNNNNNNNNNNNNNNNNNNNNNNNNNNNNNNNNNNNNNNNNNNNNNNNNNNNNNNNNNNNNNNNNNNNNNNNNNNNNNNNNNNNNNUUUUGUUGACUGGGUGAAUCUUAAAUCUUUAUUUGGUUGGAUCGAGCCCAAAAUAGGGCAGCCUACGUAUCUCACUCCCGAGAGAGGAGAAUCAGGUCACACGUAGUUCCAUAAGCUUGUUCUUUGUUUUGAUUUGAUUUGAUUUUAUUUUUGAACUCUUUCUUUUAUUCUUAUUUUUUUGACAUUUAUCUUUGACUCUAUUUUGAUUCCAAAAAAGGGAUAGAAAAGAAAAAAUAAAACAAAGCUCAAACGGGUAAACAAAGAUGACACAAUGUUUGGAUAGAAGAAUAAAAUGCCUUCAUCAUAUCAAUCUUAAAAAAUGCAAGUACUAAACAUGCAAUAAAAUCAACAAAGGAUAAAAUAUCAUACAUAAUAUCUUUUGACCGCAUCAGCAUUGAUAGCCAUUUCUGCCAUUUUGCCUUCAAUAUCUGUCAAAUAUAAGGCUCCAUUGGGCAACACUUUCUUCACAACGAAGGGACCUUGCCAGUUAGNNNNNNNNNNNNNNNNNNNNNNNNNNNNNNNNNNNNNNNNNNNNNNNNNNNNNNNNNNNNNNNNNNNNNNNNNNNNNNNNNNNNNNNNNNNNNNNNNNNNNNNNNNNNNNNNNNNNNNNNNNNNNNNNNNNNNNNNNNNNNNNNNNNNNNNNNNNNNNNNNNNNNNNNNNNNNNNNNNNNNNNNNNNNNNNNNNNNNNNNNNNNNNNNNNNNNNNNNNNNNNNNNNNNNNNNNNNNNNNNNNNNNNNNNNNCCUUUUUGUUAUACGCUCGAGCCAUCCUCCUCUGAUACAACUGGCUAUGACACACAGACGUUAGCUUUUUUUCCUCAAUCAAACUCAAAUGCUCCAGUCGGGUUUUUACCCAUUCGUCAUCAUCAAUAUCAUCUUCUACAAUGACUCGAAGAGAGGGAAUUUUAACUUCUGCAGGGAUGACUGCUUCUGUCCCAUACACCAAUAAAUAUGGAGUUGCCCCUGUUGAAGUGCGAACAGUGGUGCGAUAACUUAGCAAUGCAAACAGCAACUUUUCAUGCGACUGUCUAGACCCUUGUACCAUUUUUCGCAGUAUCUUUUUUAUAUUCUUAUUGGCGGCUUCUACAGCACCAUUGGCCUUUGGGUGAUAUAGAGUAGAAUUUUGAUGUACGAUCUUAAACUGUUGACACACUUCCUGCAUCAGAUGAAUAUUGAGAUUGGCAGCAUUAUCUGUAAUGAUCAUCUUAGGAAUUCCAAACCUACAAAUAAUUUUGGCAUGAACAAAAUCUACCACAGCCUUCCUUGUCACUGACUUGAAAGUUACUGCUUCUACCCACUUUGUGAAGUAAUUAAUGGCUACCAAAAUGAAUCUAUGUCCAUUUGAUCCCUUCGGAUCAAUCGGUCCAAUCACAUCCAUUCCCCAAGCCACAAACGGCCAUGGAGCGGCCAUUGCAUGCAACUCAGUAGGAGGAGAAUGUAUCAGAUACCUGACAUUGAUGACACUUUCGAACAAAUUGAAUAGAAUCCCUUUCCAUAGUAAGCCAGUAAUAACCUGCUCGAAGAAUCUUCUUUGACAAGACAUGACCAUUCAUAUGUGACCCGCAUACUCCAGAGUGUAUUUCAACUAUGAUUGUUGUGGCUUCUCUUGCAUCUACACACCUCAAAAGUCCCAGAUCUGGGGUUCUCUUAUAUAAGAUCCCCCCACUUAAGAAAAAUCCACUAGCCACUUGGAUCCCAAAAGGUCAACACAGCCUCUAUUAAAUCUGGACGAGGGGUAACAUGCAGAAGUUCCGUAAGAUCACCUAAUAUUUUAAUCAGUUUCUGCUGAUCAACAUAGUUAAACAUUUCCCACCACUUGAUUAACUUUUUGGGCACCUUGACAACCAUCAGGACUCUAGACUUGGUGGACAAAUCCAUCCUAUAAUAACACAUAAAACGUUAUCUCAAAAAUUCGAUAGGAGUAUAAGAUUCCCAACCCUUGGGAUUUUUGACGAAGGCAUAUGUCGAUGGGACAGACCACUUCAUGACUCCAAUUUUCCGAACAGAAGUACUGAGCAAAACCAGUCAACUUGGCUAACAACUCUAGAUUACGGGGCGAGAGACCUAGGCUAAUAAUAAGACAAAGGCCAACACAAAGAUUAUCAGACCCACCGAGGGUUGCAUAUGUAUCCCAACCCGAGGGAAGGGAAUCAGGUAUGCGUAGUUCAUCCAGAUUGGACAAUUAACGAUUAACUAAUAAAUUGACCCUAACUUAAGAGACAACCAAAAACAAACGAAUAAAAACUUUUUCUUUUUGAUUUUCAACUAGACACUUCAACUAAGACUGACACCACCAAUUAUGAAGAAAAAUCUUUUUAGUAUUUUUGCUUUUGACAAACAAGUAGAAAAGGCAAACAAAACCCUCUUUUUUUUGUUGAACUUACGGUACUUUGAGAAGAUAAAUGCAAAACGUAAAAAAAUCUUUUUGAGUUUUUGGAUUGUGAAGAACAAAAGCCAUAAAGAACUCUAAAAUAAACUGCGACACUCCUUUUGAUUCAUUCUUUUCGACUCACCUUUUUUUUUUAUCUUUUUUGCUUUUUUACCUACGCACCUUACUCCUAAAAAAUGUUUUUUUUUCAAAUCAGUUCGUCAAAUGACCACGUUACCCUUAAAUAUGCAACAGUUAGCACGUAGGGAUGCUUUAGAAGUGAGUCUCUUACAAAGGGUCAUGUGGGUCCCGCUAGGUCUCAGUAUGAUGCACAUAAGCAUGACCUAAAGGCUGACCUACGUUGUGGUUCACUAACAAGGCUGUUCAGGGGAGCGUAUGGUCGAUAGUGGCUGCUUUGCUUUCCCUCUACUCUAUAACACCGAUGGCUCCCCUCCUAAAAUAAGGGUGACUCAACUAGAGGUCGUGUACAACACGUGUACUACGAACUUGUUGCAGAAAGAAGGCCUAGGGGUAUACACAUGAUGCCAGAUAUAAAAGCGGUAACAUAUAGGAUAAAUACUGUACACAAAGAACAUGAAAUUGCACAACAGUGAUAACAAUAACACAAACAAUAAUCACAAACAAUGUUUAUACACCCAUAAUGUCAAACAAAGCCGAUACGACUUCAAAAAUAAGACCGAAUUCUGAAAAGAUCCCCAGCAGAGUCGUCAGAGCUGUCACACCCCUUUUUCGUUCUCCAAAAGAAUUGAUUUUAAGAAUUUAAAAGGGUUUUUAUUAUUAAAGUGACAAAGAUGAAAAUUUGUUCCGAAAAAGGAUUAUUUAAAUUUUUUAUUUAGAGUUGCCACUUGGCAUAAUCCGGUGUGCCAAGUCACUAUUGAAAAAUUCUUUUCAAAACCAUUCGACUCUUUAAACUGGUUUACGAACAGAGAGUCCGGCUAAGAAAUUCUGUUGAUCGAGGGGAAGGUGUUAGGCACCCCUCGAUCCCGUGGUUCGACCACAGUCGCUUGGUGGAGCGUAUCAGCUAAUUUUGACACUACAAAUGUACAAAAAACACAAACACGUAAACCAAUCAAACAGACAAACAAAACAAAAACGAAUCAAAAGUACAGUGUCCAGUCCAAUUUAUAUAGUCCAAAUAUAAAAAAAUGCAAAAAUAAAUCCUAUCUAACCUACACUAAUCCUAUCUACACUCCCGCGCUUUACCCAGUGCCUCGGGCCUUUAUCACAAACGUCUUCCUCCAACAUAAUAUGUUGGGACAUUUUCCGGUGUAUAAAUACAAUGUGUCUCGGGGCAUUCCCCGACUAAAUGAAUACAUCUGAAUUAAAUACUAUAAACUAGAAAGAAAUAUUCACAUGCACAUUCCAACAUUCAACCAAAAUAUCAUUUCUAAAUUUUACCUACCCAAACCUAUAUUGCCUAUCCAUUUCAACAUAUCAUAAUUCAAUCACGUUUCAUAUCAACAAUCAAUCAAACUUAAUUCGAAUCUAACCUUUUCGUCAAUUUUCAAUUCCACCCCCAACUUUCUUUUGAUUAAUCACCAUUAAAGCAUGAUCAAAUUCAUUCCUCCAACCACCAAAGUCGAAUUACCAAACAUCAACAACAUGAAGCAAUUAUAAUCAAUAACGCAUAAUCAUAACACCAAUGCACUAAAUAGAAAUAAAAUGAAAAGAGGGAGUCAAAGAAUUGGACCUCAAGUGUCAAUUUUAAUAUCUCGGAGAUAGAACCGCGCCCGAAAACUCAAUUCCAAACCUCGACGGCAAACAAAACGCCAAACUCGAUAUAGAAUUCAACCGGACAAAUUUGAAAAUCUAUAUGAACCUCAGCGAAAUCAAGAUGGUGGUCGUCUUCUGCCACGCCAGAACUAUUUCCCUGGGGUAUUACGAUUCCGAUUCCAGCAAAAUAACUCACCGAAAAAUGGUUGAAUCUACCCGUUUUCUCUCAAAUCCCUCCGUUCUUCUCUUUUUUGUUUGUUUGUUUGUUCUCGACGCGUCUCUCUCCCAAUCUCUCGCUCUUCGUUUCUCCUCUCUCUCUGUGUUACUCUCUCUCUUAUCCUCUCCAGCAGCUCAAUGUCUCCCUUUGGAUCCUUUUCUCGACUAUCUCGAUCUCCACCUCCUCUAUUCUUUUUCUCAACCCAUGUGUGUGUAGUGUAUCUGGGUCAGUGAGUGAGGGAAAUUGUGUCUGGGUGUGAGUCUUUUUCUGCCGGUGAGAGAGGAUCUGCGUAUAUAUGAUAGUGUCAAUCCCAUAUAUAUGGAGAAUUAUGAAUUGUGUGUCAAUUUGAAUAUUGUUUUUUUUUUUUGGUCAGUAUCUUGUGCGUCUGUGUGCUGUGUAGUGUUGUGUGAAUAUGAUCUGUGAGUGUGUCUUGUGAGUGAAGGUUAGUGAGAAUUGUGGAGAAGAUGAUGGAUAAUGGUGCGAAGAAGAAGAAAAGGAGAAAGAGAAAAAAAAUGGCGUUCCCCCCUUUUCCUAUGUGCGUCCCCUUUGUUAUAUAUAAUGGAAAAAGAAUGAGUACUACCCUUCCUGGAAGGUUCCUCUUAUUUUUGUUUUUAGUCCAUGUUUCUUUCUUUGUGGACAAGAAAAAGAGAGGAUGAGGUGUUGUUUUUUAAUUGGAGGGGUAAGGGUUAGGUGUCUUAUUUUAAUUGAAAGGGUUGUUAGGAUAUUUAAAAGAAAUAAAGUUUGUUAGGGAUUUUGUUGAGAGUUUUUUUUAAUUUUUUUUAAUUUUUAUGGAAUGUAAUUACAUGGAUAGGAUAAGAUAAAAAUAGAUAAAAAGAUAUCGGGA
This 16889-nucleotide long non-coding RNA is filed under the name Capsicum annuum. Its description in RNAcentral is "long non-coding RNA (CANN_LNC021101)". Lineage: Eukaryota; Viridiplantae; Streptophyta; Magnoliopsida; Solanales; Solanaceae. The record is from RNAcentral.